Molecule: ribosomal RNA, 434 nt
Filed under: uncultured Clostridium sp.
Lineage: Bacteria; Bacillati; Bacillota; Clostridia; Eubacteriales; Clostridiaceae
Description: partial 16S ribosomal RNA
Rfam family: Bacterial small subunit ribosomal RNA
Source: RNAcentral
ACGGGAGGCAGCAGUGGGGAAUAUUGGACAAUGGGGGAAACCCUGAUCCAGCGACGCCGCGUGAGUGAUGAAGUAUUUCGGUAUGUAAAGCUCUAUCAGCAGGAAAGAUAAUGACGGUACCUGACUAAGAAGCACCGGCUAAAUACGUGCCAGCAGCCGCGGUAAUACGUAUGGUGCAAGCGUUAUCCGGAUUUACUGGGUGUAAAGGGAGCGCAGACGGCAUGGCAAGCCAGAUGUGAAAGGCAGGGGCUCAACUCCUGGACUGCAUCUGGAACUGUCAAGCUAGAGUAUCGGAGAGGUAAGUGGAAUUCCUAGUGUAGCGGUGAAAUGCGUAGAUAUUAGGAGGAACACCAGUGGCGAAGGCGGCUUACUGGACUGUAACUGACGUUGAGGCUCGAAAGCGUGGGGAGCAAACAGGAUUAGAUACCCUGGUA